GACGUAGGGCGCGAGCGUUGUCCGGAUUUAUUGGGCGUAAAGAGCUCGUAGGCGGCUUGUCGCGUCGAAUGUGAAAACUCGGGGCUCAACUCCGAGCUUGCAUUCGAUACGGGCAGGCUAGAGUUCGGUAGGGGAGACUGGAAUUCCCGGUGUAGUGGUGAUAUGCGUAGAUAUCGGGAGGAACACCUGUGGCGAAGGCGGCUUUCUGGGCCUUACCUGACGCUGAGACGCGAAAGCGUGGGGAGCGAACCGG
This 253-nucleotide ribosomal RNA is filed under the name uncultured bacterium. RNAcentral describes it as "partial 16S ribosomal RNA". It matches the Rfam family "Bacterial small subunit ribosomal RNA", at positions 524 to 776 of the family's 1533-position model. The record is from RNAcentral.